This is a non-coding RNA of Camellia sinensis, 1615 nucleotides long. The record is from RefSeq and is a predicted model, not a curated record. NCBI's taxonomy places the organism in Eukaryota, Viridiplantae, Streptophyta, Magnoliopsida, Ericales, Theaceae.
AUUGUGAUUGAUUUCAAAUUCUGAUUUUGAACUAUAGACUUGCUAUUCCAAUAUGUUGUGAUAAAAUGUGAGACAUGUGCUAAUAUGUUCUCUAUAUACUAAAAGUUGAGAUUUAAAAACCCAUUUUAAAUCAUUUUGCUUCCACAUUCCAAACUUUUCAAACAGGAAGACGAAAUGAAAAAAGAAAGAACAGCAGGAACAGGACAGAGACAAAGAGGCAGUGUAAAAUCAGCCAAAACUCAUUACCCCAUAUGAACAAACUAUCCUGAAGAACGUGUGUACACCUAUCAGGCUCUAACACAAUUGUUGAUGUAGAACACAAUAAGUAAAGGACCUUCAAAACGGACUUGAUCUCGGUGUGGUAUCCCCGGAAGUCCUGCAGAAUUAUUUUUAUCUGGAGCAAUAUCCUUUUAUUUCAGAACUAACUCAUUGAUUCCAGGGAUUCAGGGAGAGAUUAUUGGCAGAUCCCAAAUUUUUACAUAGACUAGCUAUAGAAGAAGCUAUAUCAAUUACAACUACUCUCUUAGCACAGUAUGAAAGGCGUAAAGAAAAUUUCUUUGAAGAGCUUGACUAUGUUAUUACGGAUACUGUCAGGGGAUCAGUUGUUGAUUUUUCCACUGUAUGGCUUCCUGCUCCAACCUUGUCUUUCCUUUCAAUUGGAGAUACAAUAGAUACACCGGACAGCAUGGAAGCAUUAAAGGGCUUACUUGGUUCCAUACUUGAUAAUGCAUUUCAAAAGAAUAUUGCUGGGAACGACUGGAAUGUGAAUCAUAGAGUUGCAUCAGUACUUUUCGGCGGUUUGAAGCUUGCCGGUGUUGGAUUUAUUUCCAGUAUUGGCACUGUAGUUGCCUCAAAUAUUUUGUAUGCAAUACGCAAAUUACUGAAUCCAGCACUAGACACCAAACAACGGAUUAAAAGAUCACCAAUACUUAAAACAGUAGUUUUGUAUGAGGGCUUUUUGGGAACUCCAUCAAAUCUCCAGUAUCAGAUGCCAUUUCCUGGUAUUGUCGAUGGUCUUGGUUCAUAACUGUUGCAAUGACGGCAGCUCUUUGGUGGUCCAAUGUCAAAGCUAAGAUUGUUAAUGAUCUGCCGUAUGGCUAAGCCUGAAGAGGUUCUGAUUAUUGAGGAUGAAAAUGGGAAUAUUGUCCAUGAAACUAUGAAGGACAAUGAUGUCCUCGCUCAAUAUAAGGUGUUAAAUCUAUACUUGGCAGAUGCUGAAGAAAUUGAAUAAACAACUGAGUGGCGAGCAUUGGACAUGGAACAACUUAAACACAUUAUGUUGGGCAAUAGGAUCUAUAUCUAGGUCCAUGAUGGAGGAGCAGGAAAACAGAUUUUUGGUGAUGGUGAUUCAUGAUUCGUGAUCUAUUAAAUUUGCGUGAAAUCACAAAAGGAAAAGACAACAAAGCAUUAUUGCAAGUAACAUUGUGUAAACAAAUUUUUGUGUUAAAGUUGCAUCUCCAAUUACAAACUUAUAUAUGUACAGUUUUGGAUGAUAUAUAACUUUUUGGAUAAUUUAGAACUUAAGGAUAGUCCUUUUGGAUGUCUUUGAACUUGCGGUUAGGUUUUGGAUGUUUGAAAUGUAUAUAUUGACAAUUUUUGAAUGUUAUAAUUUAUA